Molecule: ribosomal RNA, 460 nt
Filed under: uncultured bacterium
Lineage: Bacteria
Description: partial 16S ribosomal RNA
Rfam family: Bacterial small subunit ribosomal RNA
Source: RNAcentral
CCUACGGGGGGCAGCAGUGAGGAAUAUUGGUCAAUGGACGAGAGUCUGAACCAGCCAAGUAGCGUGAAGGAUGACUGCCCUAUGGGUUGUAAACUUCUUUUAUAUGGGAAUAAAAUGUUCCACGUGUGGGAUUUUGUAUGUACCAUAUGAAUAAGGAUCGGCUAACUCCGUGCCAGCAGCCGCGGUAAUACGGAGGAUCCGAGCGUUAUCCGGAUUUAUUGGGUUUAAAGGGAGCGUAGGUGGAUUGUUAAGUCAGUUGUGAAAGUUUGCGGCUCAACCGUAAAAUUGCAGUUGAAACUGGCAGUCUUGAGUACAGUAGAGGUGGGCUGAAUUCGUGGUGUAGCGGUGAAAUGCUUAGAUAUCACGAAGAACUCCGAUUGCGAAGGCAGUUCACUGGACUGCAACUGACACUGAGGCUCGAAAGUGUGGGUAUCAAACAGGAUUAGAUACCCCUGUAGUC